AUUUUAGUAGCUUAAAAUAAAGCAUAAUAUUGAAGAUACUAUGAUAGUAAAAUUACUCUAAAAUA
This 65-nucleotide transfer RNA is filed under the name Paphnutius ruficeps. RNAcentral's name for it is "tRNA-Phe". Lineage: Eukaryota; Metazoa; Arthropoda; Insecta; Hemiptera; Cercopidae. The record is from RNAcentral.